AGGGGUGUAGCUCAAUUGGCAGAGCGUCGGUCUCCAAAACCGAAGGUCGCGGGUUCGAUUCCCUCCGCCCCUGCCA
Molecule: transfer RNA, 76 nt
Filed under: Pseudomonas sp.
Lineage: Bacteria; Pseudomonadati; Pseudomonadota; Gammaproteobacteria; Pseudomonadales; Pseudomonadaceae
Also listed under: 96 other names
Description: tRNA-Trp
Rfam family: tRNA
About the family: Transfer RNA (tRNA) molecules are approximately 80 nucleotides in length. Their secondary structure includes four short double-helical elements and three loops (D, anti-codon, and T loops). Further hydrogen bonds mediate the characteristic L-shaped molecular structure. tRNAs have two regions of fundamental functional importance: the anti-codon, which is responsible for specific mRNA codon recognition, and the 3' end, to which the tRNAs corresponding amino acid is attached (by aminoacyl-tRNA synthetases). tRNAs cope with the degeneracy of the genetic code in two manners: having more than one tRNA (with a specific anti-codon) for a particular amino acid; and 'wobble' base-pairing, i.e. permitting non-standard base-pairing at the 3rd anti-codon position.
Source: RNAcentral